AGCCUAUAAGCCGUUUUCUUCUCUUCAUCCCGAGUUCCUCCAUCACUUGCAUCUCAAUCUCUGCGACUCUUUGGAAUUUUGCCCUAAUUUUGCUAUCUUCAGCAUUUCAAGCCUAUAAGCCAUUUUCUUCUCUGCCUAGAAGCCGUUUUCUUCUCUGCCUAGAAGCCAUUUUCUUCUCUACCUAAAAGUCGUUUUCUUCUCUGCCUAGAAGCCGUUUUUUCUCUUCCGCCCGAGUUUCUCCAUCGCUUGCAUCUCAAUCUCUACGGUUUUUUUGGAAUUUUGCCCUAAUUUUGGUCUCUCUUCAGUAUUUCAAGCCUAGAAGCCGUUUUCUUCUCUUCCUCCCGAGCACCUCCAUCGCUUGCAUCUCAAUCUCUACGGCUCUUUCAUUUUUUCUCGCAUUCGUCUCUCUCGAAAAUUUGAAUAAGGAAGAGACUUGAUGUCAGGAACUAUUCUUCGUGGCUGUAUGCAUCUUGUUGAUCAGGCCGACAGUGAGAGAGUAGACAAAUCUGAGGUCAAUGGAGAUAAACUAAAGGAGGCACGGCAUAUUAACAGAUCUCUCUCUGUUCUAGGGGAUGUCAUCUCUGCCCUUGCCCAGAAGAGUCCACAUGUCCCUUACAGGAAUAGUUAAGUAACAAAACUUCUUCAAGACUCACUUGGUAAGAAUAAACUAAUGCAUUUUCAGAGUAUGAACCUCAUAUUUGAUUCUGUUUUCUUUAAUUUUAUUUUUUAAAUUAUAAUAUGGCUUUUGGAUUGUAAUUCUCUUUAGGGGGGCAAACCAAGACACUAAUGUUUGUUCACAUUAGCCCUGAACUGGAUGCUGAUGGAGAAACAAUUAGCACAGUUAAAUUUGCAGAGCGAUUUGCCACAGUAGAACUUGGUGCUGCUCGUGUAAACAAGGAUAGUGUAGAUGUGAAAGAGCUAAAAGAACAGAUUGGUACUCUGAAGGCAGCUCUGGCAAGGAAAGAGGAAAACCAGAGGACAUGCAACAUUCAUUUUCCAACAGUUCUGAAAGAUGGAGAAC
Vitis riparia (riverbank grape) is the source of this 1021-nucleotide long non-coding RNA. RefSeq lists it as uncharacterized. The transcript is spliced from 3 exons. Lineage: Eukaryota; Viridiplantae; Streptophyta; Magnoliopsida; Vitales; Vitaceae. The record is from RefSeq and is a predicted model, not a curated record.